RNA transcript from Nomascus leucogenys (northern white-cheeked gibbon), 1205 nucleotides. It is a transcript of the gene named 60S ribosomal protein L12 pseudogene, with no coding region annotated. The transcript has a single exon. The record is from RefSeq and is a predicted model, not a curated record. Lineage: Eukaryota; Metazoa; Chordata; Mammalia; Primates; Hylobatidae.
GCGGGGGCCGAGGAGCGCGCGAGGCGGAGGCCUACCUGUGGCCCAGAAAGAGAACUGUCAUUAAAUGAAGAAGGCUCAAGACCAGAGGCCUGGAAAUAAAGUGGAUUUAUGCUUGACUUGCAGAUCUGUUAAGUGCACACACGAAAUGUAAUAUAUUUAAACAAAAUUACCUUAUCAGAUUAUGUAUUAAUAUGUGGUAUUCUGGUUUUCUGGGGAUGCUUUUAAUUAGUCUGAUUGUAUUGUCAACUGGACAGGUUUAUAAAUAGGUGUGUGUACUUUUGAAAUUCAAUAAUUCAGUGUUAUGUUGAUAAAACAAUGAUUUACUGGCCCAUUUUACUAAUUAGUUUUGUUAAAUAUAAAUUCAUGUUUGGUUUGGUUGAAAACAAUAAGAACAACAUAGGAGGCUUUCGGCUCGGAGGAGGCCAAGGUGCAACUUUCUUCGGUCGUCCCGAAUCCGGGUUCAUCCGACACCAGCCGCCUCCACCAUGCCGCCAAAGUUCGACCCCAACGAGAUCAAAGUCGUAUACCUGAGGUGCACCGGAGGUGAAGUCGGUGCCACUUCUGCCCUGGCCCCCAAGAUCGGCCCCCUGGGUCUGUCUCCAAAAAAGGUUGGUGAUGACAUUGCCAAGGCAACGGGUGACUGGAAGGGCCUGAGGAUUACAGGGAAACUGACCGUUCAGAACAGACAGGCCCAAAUUGAGGUGGUGCCUUCUGCCUCUGCCUCUUUCCUGAUCAUCAAAGCCCUCAAGGAACCACCAAGAGACAGAAAGAAACAGAAAAACAUUAAACACAGUAGGAAUAUCACUUUUGAUGAGAUCGUCAACAUUGCUCGACAGAUGCGGCACCGAUCCUUAGCCAGAGAACUCUCUGGAAUCCUUAAAGAGAUCUUGGGGACUGCCCAGUCUGUGGACUGUAAUGUUGAUGGCCACCACCCUCAUGACAUCAUAGAUGAGGUGCUGUGGAAUGCCCAUGACAUCAACAGUGGUGCUGUGGAACGCCCAGCCAGUUAAACACAAAGGAAAAUAAUUCAAUAAAGGAUCAUUUGACAACUGGAAAAAAAAAAAAAAAAAAAAAACAGGAGGUUGUGACUUUAACAGCGUGUGGAUUCCCUAACUGAUCUGGCCUGGUCUUCAAAAUCUCUUUUCCCUUGUCAUUCCUUUUCUUUUUUUUUUUUUGAGACAGGGUCUCACAUUGUUCCCCAGGCU